Molecule: small nuclear RNA, 66 nt
Organism: Pan troglodytes (chimpanzee)
Lineage: Eukaryota; Metazoa; Chordata; Mammalia; Primates; Hominidae
Rfam family: U4 spliceosomal RNA
About the family: U4 small nuclear RNA (U4 snRNA) is a component of the major U2-dependent spliceosome.
Source: Rfam
AGCUUUGCGCAGUGGCAGUAUUGCAGCCAAUAAGGUUUAUCUGAGGUGCAAUUAUUGCCAGUCAAA